AAGCCAUGCAUGUCUAAGUAUAAGCAAUCUAUACGGUGAAACUGCGAAUGGCUCAUUAAAUCAGUUAUCGUUUAUUUGAUAGUACCUUACUACUUGGAUAACCGUGGUAAUUCUAGAGCUAAUACAUGCUAAAAACCUCGACUUCGGAAGGGGUGUAUUUAUUAGAUAAAAAACCAAUGCCCUUCGGGGCUCCUUGGUGAUUCAUAAUAACUUAACGAAUCGCAUGGCCUUGUGCCGGCGAUGGUUCAUUCAAAUUUCUGCCCUAUCAACUUUCGAUGGUAGGAUAGUGGCCUACCAUGGUUU
This 303-nucleotide ribosomal RNA is filed under the name uncultured fungus. RNAcentral's name for it is "SSU rRNA". It matches the Rfam family "Eukaryotic small subunit ribosomal RNA", at positions 46 to 352 of the family's 1831-position model. Lineage: Eukaryota; Fungi. The record is from RNAcentral.